This is a long non-coding RNA of Asparagus officinalis (garden asparagus), 408 nucleotides long. RefSeq lists it as uncharacterized. The record is from RefSeq and is a predicted model, not a curated record. NCBI's taxonomy places the organism in Eukaryota, Viridiplantae, Streptophyta, Magnoliopsida, Asparagales, Asparagaceae. The transcript is spliced from 3 exons.
UGUUCCGCCGCUCAAAAAAAACCAUCUCUCUCUCUCUCUCUUCUUCCUUCCGCCUGUUUCUGCCGCACACACAACAAAGAAAAAAAAAUUAAUUGGAUCUGCAUUGAAGGAGGAUAGAUGGGGUUUCAAGUGGCUUUGAAGAAGCGUCAUGAGAGUUAAAUUUUGGUUUGUCUUUCGAAUUAAGAGACUCGGGAUUAGGUGGAAUUGAGGAUUUGUCAAAUUCAUAGAACGGAGCAAGGAAUAAAAUUUCAGGAUUGUUAUUAUCUUCUAGGUGAAUGUUAAAUAAAGCCUUGAUGUUUAGUUAAUGAAUUGAGAGUCGUGUAAUUACGAGAUUUCUUUCCUUUAGGUCGAGUUUUAUUUCAAGUUGAGGAAUAUUUAUACAUAUCAAGUUAAUUUGAUUAAUGUUGA